AGCAGCCGCGGUAAUUCCAGCUCCAAUAGCGUAUAUUAAAGUUGUUGCAGUUAAAAAGCUCGUAGUUGAAUUUCGGGAUCAAAGGAUCGGUCAUGCCUUGGUAUGUACUGGUUUUAUUGGUUCUCACCUUCUAAAGAACCAUAAUGUCAUUCAUUUGAUGUUAUGGGGAAUUAGGACUGUUACCUUGAAAAAAUUAGAGUGUUUAAAGCAGGCUUACGCUUGAAUACAUUAGCAUGGAAUAAUGAAAUAGGACAUCAGAUUCUAUUUUGUUGGUUUCUAGGAUCGAUGUAAUGAUUAAUAGGGAUAGUUGGGGGCAUUAGUAUUCAAUUGUCAGAGGUGAAAUUCUUGGAUUUAUUGAAGACUAACUACUGCGAAAGCAUUUGCCAAGGAUGUUUUCAUUAAUCAAGAACGAAAGUUAGGGGAUCGAAGACGAUCAGAUACCGUCGUAGUCUUAACCAUAAACUAUGCCGACUAGGGAUCGGAUGAUGUUAAUUUUAUAAUGACUCA
Molecule: small RNA, 507 nt
Filed under: uncultured Glomus
Lineage: Eukaryota; Fungi; Glomeromycota; Glomeromycetes; Glomerales; Glomeraceae
Description: SSU rRNA
Rfam family: Eukaryotic small subunit ribosomal RNA
Source: RNAcentral